GACGAACGCUGGCGGCGUGCUUAACACAUGCAAGUCGAGCGGUAAGGCCCUUUCGGGGGUACACGAGCGGCGAACGGGUGAGUAACACGUGGGUGACCUGCCCUCAGCUCUGGGAUAAGCCUGGGAAACCGGGUCUAAUACUGGAUAUGACUCCAUGACGCAUGUUGUGGGGUGGAAAGCCUUGUGCGGCUGAGGAUGGGCCCGCGGCCUAUCAGCUUGUUGGUGGGGUGANGGCCUACCAAGGCGACGACGGGUAGCCGGCCUGAGAGGGCGACCGGCCACACUGGGACUGAGACACGGCCCACGACUCCUACGGGAGGGCAGCAGUGGGGAAUAUUGGACAAUGGGGGCGAACCCUCGAUCCAGCAAUGCCGCGUGAGUGAAGAA
Molecule: ribosomal RNA, 387 nt
Filed under: uncultured bacterium
Lineage: Bacteria
Description: bacterial SSU rRNA
Rfam family: Bacterial small subunit ribosomal RNA
Source: RNAcentral